RNAcentral lists this unclassified non-coding RNA (296 nucleotides) under uncultured fungus. RNAcentral describes it as "partial contains 5.8S ribosomal RNA, internal transcribed spacer 2, and large subunit ribosomal RNA". The stretch from base 1 to 52 matches the Rfam family "5.8S ribosomal RNA", at positions 103 to 154 of the family's 154-position model. RNAcentral also lists the same sequence under 1 other name. The record is from RNAcentral. Lineage: Eukaryota; Fungi.
AACGCACCUUGCGCUCCUUGGUAUUCCGAGGAGCAUGCCUGUUUGAGUGUCAUUAAAUUCUCAACCCCGAUCGGAUUUGCUUUCGAUUCGGAGGCUUGGAUUGUGGAGCGUGCUGGCCCCUCCCCGGGUCGGCUCCUCUCAAAUGCAUUCGCGGAAUUGACUUUGGUCCGUUUCGGUCAUCAGUGUGAUAAUCAUGUUGCGCUGUUGGCUAGGAUCGAGGUGCCGCAUACAAUGGUCUUCGGACAACUUCAUAUCAAUUUGACCUCAAAUCAGGUAGGACUACCCGCUGAACUUAA